This 684-nucleotide ribosomal RNA is filed under the name uncultured Actinomycetales bacterium. RNAcentral's name for it is "bacterial SSU rRNA". It matches the Rfam family "Bacterial small subunit ribosomal RNA", at positions 63 to 760 of the family's 1533-position model. Lineage: Bacteria; Bacillati; Actinomycetota; Actinomycetes; Actinomycetales. The record is from RNAcentral.
CGAACGGAAAGGCCCUGCUUGCAGGGUACUCGAGUGGCGAACGGGUGAGUAACACGUGGGUGAUCUGCCCUGCACUUCGGGAUAAGCCUGGGAAACUGGGUCUAAUACCGGAUAGGAGCCAUUUUUAGUGUGAUGGUUGGAAAGUUUUUUCGGUGUAGGAUGAGCUCGCGGCCUAUCAGCUUGUUGGUGGGGUAAUGGCCUACCAAGGCGGCGACGGGUAGCCGGCCUGAGAGGGUGGACGGCCACAUUGGGACUGAGAUACGGCCCAGACUCCUACGGGAGGCAGCAGUGGGGAAUAUUGCACAAUGGGCGCAAGCCUGAUGCAGCGACGCCGCGUGGGGGAUGACGGCCUUCGGGUUGUAAACUCCUUUCGCUAGGGACGAAGCUUUUUGUGACGGUACCUAGAUAAGAAGCACCGGCUAACUACGUGCCAGCAGCCGCGGUAAUACGUAGGGUGCGAGCGUUGUCCGGAAUUACUGGGCGUAAAGGGCUCGUAGGUGGUUUGUCGCGUCGUCUGUGAAAUUCCGGGGCUUAACUCCGGGCGUGCAGGCGAUACGGGCAUAACUUGAGUACUGUAGGGGUAACUGGAAUUCCUGGUGUAGCGGUGAAAUGCGCAGAUAUCAGGAGGAACACCGAUGGCGAAGGCAGGUUACUGGGCAGUUACUGACGCUGAGGAGCGAAAGC